GAUGAACGCUGGCGGCGUGCCUAAUACAUGCAAGUCGAGCGAACAGACGAGGAGCUUGCUCCUCUGACGUUAGCGGCGGACGGGUGAGUAACACGUGGAUAACCUACCUAUAAGACUUGGAUAACUUCGGGAAACCGGAGCUAAUACCGGAUAAUAUAUUGAACCGCAUGGUUCAAUAGUGAAAGACGGUUUUGCUGUCGAUUCUAGAUGGAUCCGCGCCGCAUUAGCUAGUUGGUAAGGUAACGGCUUACCAAGGCAACGAUGCGUAGCCGACGUGAGAGGGUGAUCGGCACCACUGAGGCUGAGACACGGUCCAGACUCCUACGGGAGGCAGCAGUAGGGAAUCUUCCGCAAUGGGCGAAAGCCUGACGGAGCAACGCCGCGUGAGUGAUGAAGGUCUUCGGAUCGUAAAACUCUGUUAUUAGGGAAGAACAAAUGUGUAAGUAACUAUGCACGUCUUGACGGUACCUAAUCAGAAAGCCACGGCUAACUACGUG
This 497-nucleotide ribosomal RNA is filed under the name uncultured bacterium. RNAcentral's name for it is "partial 16S ribosomal RNA". It matches the Rfam family "Bacterial small subunit ribosomal RNA", at positions 28 to 507 of the family's 1533-position model. The record is from RNAcentral.